Molecule: long non-coding RNA, 1379 nt
Organism: Bactrocera neohumeralis
Lineage: Eukaryota; Metazoa; Arthropoda; Insecta; Diptera; Tephritidae
Exons: 2
Source: RefSeq, a predicted model, not a curated record
CGGCCGGAAUAGCCCGAAUUUCUUCGGAAAUGUUGUCUUCCAAAGCUGGAAUAGUUGCUGGCUUAUUUCUGUAGACUUUAGACUUGACGUAGCCCCACAAAAAAUAGUCUAAAGGCGUUAAAUCGCAUGAUCUUGGUGGCCAACUUACGGGUCCAUUUCUUGAGAUGAAUUGUUCUCCGAAGUUUUCCCUCAAAAUGGCCAUAGAAUCGCGAGCUGUGUGGCAUGUAGCGCCAUCUUGUUGAAACCACAUGAGUCAACAUUUAAAUGAAAUUAUCUUCAAAAAUAAAUGUCAUGAACCAAUCUAACGUUUCAAAUAAAGAACCGAUGAGAUUUUGCAAAUUUUAUGCGUUUUUUUUUUUAAAAAAGUUAUCAAGCUCUUAAAAAUCACCCGAUAUAAGAGUGUACAACUGCUGGCGUAUGCCGACGAUAUUGAUAUCAUCGGCCUCAACACCCGCGCCGUUAGUUCUGCUUUCUCUAGGCUGGACAAGGAAGCACAGAAAAUGGGUCUGGUAGUGAACGAGGGCAAAACGAAAUAUCUCCUGUCAUCAAACAAACAGUCGUCGCACUCGCGACUUGGCUCUCACGUCACUGUUGACAGUCAUAACUUUGAAGUUGUAGAUAAUUUCGUCUAUUUAGGAACUAGCAUUAACACCACUAAUAAUGUCAGCCUGGAAAUCCAACGCAGGAUUGCUCUUGCCAACAGGUGCUACUUCGGACUGAGUAGGCAAUUGAAAAGUAAAGUCCUCUCUCGACGAACAAAAACCAAACUCUAUAAGUCGCUCAUAAUUCCCGUCCUGCUAUAUGGUGCAGAGGCUUGGACGAUUACGUGUUUUCGAGAGAAAAAUUCUGCGAAAGAUUUAUGGUCCUUUGCGCAUUGACCACGGCGUAUAUCGCAUCCGAUGGAACGAUGAGCUGUACGAGAUAGACGACAUUGACAUAGUUCAGCGAAUUAAAAGGCAGCGGCUACGCUGGCUAGGUCAUGUUGUCCGGAUGGAUGAAAACACUCCAGCUCUGAAAGUAUUCGACGCAGUACCCGCCGGGGGAAGCAGAGGAAGAGGAAGACCUCCACUCCGUUGGAAGGACCAAGUGGAGAAGGACCUGGCUUCGCUUGGAAUAUCCAAUUGGCGCCACGCAGCGAAAAGAAGAAACGACUGGCGCGCUGUUGUUAACUCGGCUAUAAUCGCGUAAGCGGUGUCUACGCCAAUUAAGAAGAAGAAGAAAUGUUGUCCUAAGUAGUAUGUACAGACCUUACAUAAAGUCAACAUAGAUUUUCAAACAUAAUUCUUGGGACAUAUAACAAACAUGGCAGGAUUACGAUUACAAUAUAUGUAGAAAAAUUAUAUUUAUAUAGUAAUAAACAGAUACACAUAAAACCGCUA